This 448-nucleotide ribosomal RNA is filed under the name Scottocalanus rotundatus. RNAcentral's name for it is "partial 12S ribosomal RNA". Lineage: Eukaryota; Metazoa; Arthropoda; Copepoda; Calanoida; Scolecitrichidae. The record is from RNAcentral.
CCUAGGGGCAUAAUCAUUUUGAUCCCUUAAUAAAACUACUAGUAAAAAAUUUAAAUGUUAGUUGUGAAAAAAAAACUUUUUUUAUUAGAUAAAGCAUUUUUUAAAAUCCUAAGAUAAAGAGGGGCUAGAUGCCCAAUAUAAGGAAUAACUUAUAUUAGGUAUUAAAAGAAAAAUCUCUAAACCUAAAGAACAUGGCAGUAUUUUACCCCCUGCAGAGGAACUUGAAUAGUCAAUGAUAAUCCCCACUAAGUUUUACUUUAUUUUAUUUUAUGUGUGGUUGUCUAAAUAAGUGUCAAAGCAUAAAUUAUAAGUCAGAUUACAUGUAGAAAUAAUAAAGAAUAGUUUAGUUACAAAUAUAGGAAUAUAGGAUUUGCAAGUAAAAUAAUUUUUUAUUAUUUAUUCGAAGAGGUUAUAAAAUGUGUACAUAUUGUCCGUCACUCUCCGAGAG